Molecule: ribosomal RNA, 496 nt
Filed under: uncultured bacterium
Lineage: Bacteria
Description: partial 16S ribosomal RNA
Rfam family: Bacterial small subunit ribosomal RNA
Source: RNAcentral
AACGAACGCUGGCGGUAUGCUUAACACAUGCAAGUCGAACGAGACGAGAUGGAAGGAUCCUUCGGGUGACGGAAAUCUUAGAAAGUGGCGAACGGGUGAGUAACGCGUGGGUAACCUGCCCUAUGGAAAGGAAUAGCCUCGGGAAACUGGGAGUAAUGCCUUAUAAUAUAUCGAAGUCGCAUGGCUUUGAUAUUAAACGCUCCGGUGCCAUAGGAUGGACCCGCGUCCCAUUAGCUAGUUGGUGAGAUAACAGCCCACCAAGGCGACGAUGGGUAAACGGGCUGGGAGGGCGGACGGUCACACUGGAACUGAGACACGGUCCAGACUCCUACGGGAGGCAGCAGUGGGGAAUAGUGCGCAAUGGGGGCAACCCUGACGCAGCAAUACCGCGUGAGUGGAGAAGGUUUUCGGAUCGUAAAGCUCUGUUAUUGGGGAAGAAAAAAGACGGUACCCAAGAAGAAAGUCCCGGCUAACUACGUGCCAGCAGCCGCCGUAA